This 434-nucleotide ribosomal RNA is filed under the name uncultured Lachnospiraceae bacterium. RNAcentral describes it as "partial 16S ribosomal RNA". It matches the Rfam family "Bacterial small subunit ribosomal RNA", at positions 341 to 792 of the family's 1533-position model. The record is from RNAcentral. Lineage: Bacteria; Bacillati; Bacillota; Clostridia; Lachnospirales; Lachnospiraceae.
ACGGAAGGCAGCAGUGGGGAAUAUUGCACAAUGGGGGAAACCCUGAUGCAGCGACGCCGCGUGAGUGAAGAAGUAUUUCGGUAUGUAAGGCUCUAUCAGCAAGGAAGAAAAUGACGGUACUUGACUAAGAAGCCCCGGCUAACUACGUGCCAGCAGCCGCGGUAAUACGUAGGGGGCAAGCGUUAUCCGGAUUUACUGGGUGUAAAGGGAGCGUAGACGGUAAUGCAAGUCAGAAGUGAAAGCCCAAGGCUCAACCAUGGGACUGCUUUUGAAACUGUAAUACUAGAGUGCAGGAGAGGUAAGUGGAAUUCCUAGUGUAGCGGUGAAAUGCGUAGAUAUUAGGAGGAACACCAGUGGCGAAGGCGGCUUACUGGACUGUAACUGACGUUGAGGCUCGAAAGCGUGGGGAGCAAACAGGAUUAGAUACCCUGGUA